RNAcentral lists this ribosomal RNA (626 nucleotides) under uncultured bacterium. RNAcentral's name for it is "bacterial SSU rRNA". It matches the Rfam family "Bacterial small subunit ribosomal RNA", at positions 223 to 863 of the family's 1533-position model. The record is from RNAcentral.
GGAGGGGCUCGCGUCCCAUUAGAUAGAUGGCGGGGUAACGGCCCACCAUGUCGACGAUGGGUAGCCGAGCUGAGAGGCUGAUCGGCCACACUGGAACUGAGACACGGUCCAGACUCCUACGGGAGGCAGCAGUGGGGAAUAUUGGGCAAUGGGCGCAAGCCUGACCCAGCAACGCCGCGUGAGGGAAGAAGGCUUUCGGGUUGUAAACCUCUGUCCUUGGUGACGAAAAAAAUGACGGUAGCCAAGGAGGAAGCCCCGGCUAACUACGUGCCAGCAGCCGCGGUAAUACGUAGGGGGCGAGCGUUGUCCGGAAUUACUGGGCGUAAAGGGUGCGUAGGUGGCCUUUUAAGUUGGAUGUGAAAUCCCCGGGCUUAACUUGGGUGGUGCAUCUAAUACUGGAGGGCUAGAGUGCAGGAGAGGGAAGCGGAAUUCCUAGUGUAGCGGUGAAAUGCGUAGAUAUUAGGAGGAACACCAGUGGCGAAGGCGGCUUUCUGGACUGUAACUGACACUGAGGCACGAAAGCGUGGGGAGCAAACAGGAUUAGAUACCCUGGUAGUCCACGCGGUAAACGUUAGUACUAGGUGUAGGGGGUAUCAACUCCCCCUGUGCCGGAGCUAACGCAAUAA